UCUACGGGAGGCAGCAGUGGGGAAUAUUGGACAAUGGGCGAAAGCCUGAUCCAGCCAUGCCGCGUGUGUGAAGAAGGCCUUCGGGUUGUAAAGCACUUUCAGUGGGGAAGAAAGCCUUGGGGCUAAUACCCUCGAGGAAGGACAUCACCCACAGAAGAAGCACCGGCUAACUCCGUGCCAGCAGCCGCGGUAAUACGGAGGGUGCGAGCGUUAAUCGGAAUUACUGGGCGUAAAGCGCGCGUAGGCGGUCUGAUAAGCCGGUUGUGAAAGCCCCGGGCUCAACCUGGGAACGGCAUCCGGAACUGUCAGGCUAGAGUGCAGGAGAGGAAGGUAGAAUUCCCGGUGUAGCGGUGAAAUGCGUAGAGAUCGGGAGGAAUACCAGUGGCGAAGGCGGCCUUCUGGACUGACACUGACGCUGAGGUGCGAAAGCGUGGGUAGCAAACAGGAUUAGAUACCCGGGUAGUC
Molecule: ribosomal RNA, 465 nt
Filed under: Vreelandella stevensii
Lineage: Bacteria; Pseudomonadati; Pseudomonadota; Gammaproteobacteria; Oceanospirillales; Halomonadaceae
Description: partial 16S ribosomal RNA
Rfam family: Bacterial small subunit ribosomal RNA
Source: RNAcentral